RNAcentral lists this long non-coding RNA (367 nucleotides) under Androctonus crassicauda. The record is from RNAcentral. Lineage: Eukaryota; Metazoa; Arthropoda; Arachnida; Scorpiones; Buthidae.
AAAUAUUCUUUCUUUUCACAAAUACACAACGCUAAGUCAAGACAGAAUAAAAAUAAUAAUAAUAAAUCAAUAAAACGUGAAUAAAUUUAAAUGUAUUGACUACGUUUGUUAGUUUUUAGUUAUGUCGUCGAAUCGCACAUGAAAAAUUCUUGUUGGCCACACCACGAUGUUGAAGGUGGAAUUCGAUGGACAGGGCUCAGAUCCCUCCUGAAAAACGACGUGUCAUAUCCAAGGAUGUAUUACAUUAAGAUCCUCCGAGGUGUUAAGCGCACGCUUUAUCACACAAUUUUAUUGGCAUUAAAAGUAAAAACAUUUUGCCGGGAUUCGAACUGCAAUCACAUUGACUAUCGACCCAGUUAUAGGAACC